GAAACGACUGCUAAGACUGGAUAGGAAACAAAAAGGCAUCUUUUUGUUUUUAAAAGACCUUCUUACGAAGGUAUGCUUAAAGAGGGGCUUGCGCCACAUUAGUUAGUUGGUAGAGUAAAAGCCUACCAAGACGAUGAUGUGUAGCUGGACUGAGAGGUUGAACAGCCACAUUGGGACUGAGACACGGCCCAAACUCCUACGGGAGGCAGCAGUAGGGAAUUUUCGGCAAUGGAGGAAACUCUGACCGAGCAACGCCGCGUGAACGAUGAAGUAUUUCGGUAUGUAAAGUUCUUUUAUUGAAGAAGAAAAAGUAGUGGAAAAACUAUAUUGACGUUAUUCAAUGAAUAAGCCCCGGCUAACUAUGUGCCAGCAGCCGCGGUAAGACAUAGGGGGCGAGCGUUAUCCGGAAUUAUUGGGCGUAAAGGGUGCGUAGGCUGUUAGAUAAGUCUAUAAUUUAAUUUCAGUGCUUAACGCUGUCUUGUUAUAGAAACUGUCUUGACUAGAGUGAGAUAGAGGCAAGCGGAAUUCCAUGUGUAGCGGUAAAAUGUGUAAAUAUAUGGAGGAACACCAGAAGCGUAGGCGGCUUGCUGGGUCUUUACUGACGCUGAGGCACGAAAGCGUGGGUAGCAAACAGGAUUAGAUACCCUGGUAGUCCACGCCGUAAACGAUGAGUACUAAGUGUCGGGGUAAAACUCGGUACUGAAGUUAACACAUUAAGUACUCCGCCUGAGUAGUACGUACGCAAGUAUGAAACUUAAAGGAAUUGACGGGACUCCGCACAAGCGGUGGAUCAUGUUGUUUAAUUCGAAGAUACACGAAAAAUCUUACCAGGUCUUGACAUACUCUGCAAAGCUAUAGAAAUAUAGUGGAGGUUAUCAGGGAUACAGGUGGUGCAUGGUUGUCGUCAGUUCGUGUCGUGAGAUGUUAGGUUAAGUCCUAAAACGAGCGCAACCCUUGUCGUUAAUUGCCAGCACGUAAUGGUGGGGACUUUAACGAGACUGCCAAUUAAACAUUGGAGGAAGGUGAGGAUUACGUCAAAUCAUCAUGCCCCUUAUGAUCUGGGCUACAAACGUGAUACAAUGGCUGUGACAAAGAGUAGCUGAAACGCGAGUUUUUAGCCAAUCUCAAAAAAGCAGUCUCAGUUCGGAUUGAAGUCUGUAACUCGACUUCAUGAAGUUGGAAUCGCUAGUAAUCGCGAAUCAGCAUGUCGCGGUGAAUACGUUCUCGGGGUUUGUACACACCGCCCGUCAA
RNAcentral lists this ribosomal RNA (1251 nucleotides) under Candidatus Phytoplasma trifolii. Its description in RNAcentral is "bacterial SSU rRNA". It matches the Rfam family "Bacterial small subunit ribosomal RNA", at positions 153 to 1400 of the family's 1533-position model. The record is from RNAcentral. Lineage: Bacteria; Bacillati; Mycoplasmatota; Mollicutes; Acholeplasmatales; Acholeplasmataceae.